Molecule: long non-coding RNA, 245 nt
Filed under: Elaeis guineensis (African oil palm)
Lineage: Eukaryota; Viridiplantae; Streptophyta; Magnoliopsida; Arecales; Arecaceae
Description: long non-coding RNA (EGUI_LNC036459)
Source: RNAcentral
AGUUGCGAUAGGAGCUGGGUGCUUCUGAUGUAUUAUAUUAUCAACUAUAUCUUUCUUUUGUAUGUUUUCAACUAUUGAUUGAAAUUUUUAUAUAUUGAUGUAAAAUUAUAAAAAAAUUAUUUAAAAAUAAAUAAAAAUUAUUUUUUUCUAUUUUCAGAUAAAGAUCAAGCAUUCAUGGUAGUCUUCAUGGAGAUGAAGAUUAGACUACCAGAUAUUUGUAGAGCAAAGAUGAAUUAAGAUAGACC